Molecule: ribosomal RNA, 468 nt
Filed under: uncultured bacterium
Lineage: Bacteria
Description: partial 16S ribosomal RNA
Rfam family: Bacterial small subunit ribosomal RNA
Source: RNAcentral
GACGAACGCUGGCGGCGUGCUUAACACAUGCAAGUCGAACGGAAAGGCCCUGCUUUUGUUGGGUGCUCGAGUGGCGAACGUGUGAGUAACACGUGAGUAACCUGCCCUUUACUUUGGUAUAACUUCAUGAAACUUGGGCUAAUACCGGAUAGGAGCUCCUGCUGCAUGGUGGGGGUUGGAAAGUUUCGGCGGUUGGGGAUGGACUCGCGGCUUAUCAGCUUGUUUGUGGGGUAGUGGCUUACCAAGGCUUUGACGGGUAGCCGGCCUGAGAGGGUGACCGGCCACAAUGGGACUGAGAGACGGCACAGACUGCUACGGGAGGCAGCAGUGGGGAAUAUUGCAAAAUGGGAGGAAGCCUGAUGCAGAAACGAAGCGUGCGGGAUGAAGGCCUUCGGGUUGUAAAAAGAAUUAGAAUGUGACGAAGCGUGAGUGACGGUAAUGGGUAAAGAAGCACCGGCUAACUACGUG